GUGGGGAAUUUUGGACAAUGGGCGCAAGCCUGAUCCAGCCAUGCCGCGUGUGUGAAGAUGGUCUUCGGAUUGUAAAGCACUUUAAGUUGGGAGGAAGGGCAGUAAGUUAAUACCUUGCUGUUUUGACGUUACCGACAGAAUAAGCACCGGCUAACUUCGUGCCAGCAGCCGCGGUAAUACGAAGGGUGCAAGCGUUAAUCGGAAUUACUGGGCGUAAAGCGCGCGUAGGUGGUUUUGUAAGUUGGAGGUGAAAUCCCCGGGCUCAACCUGGGAACUGCCUCCAAAACUGCAUGACUAGAGUACGGUAGAGGGUAGUGGAAUUUCCUGUGUAGCGGUGAAAUGCGUAGAUAUAGGAAGGAACACCAGUGGCGAAGGCGACUACCUGGACUGAUACUGACACUGAGGUGCGAAAGCGUGGGGAGCAAACAGGAUUAGAUACCCGAGUAGUCC
This 450-nucleotide ribosomal RNA is filed under the name uncultured bacterium. RNAcentral describes it as "partial 16S ribosomal RNA". It matches the Rfam family "Bacterial small subunit ribosomal RNA", at positions 354 to 796 of the family's 1533-position model. The record is from RNAcentral.